Molecule: ribosomal RNA, 253 nt
Filed under: uncultured bacterium
Lineage: Bacteria
Description: partial 16S ribosomal RNA
Rfam family: Bacterial small subunit ribosomal RNA
Source: RNAcentral
UACGUAGGGGGCAAGCGUUGUCCGGAAUCAUUGGGCGUAAAGCGCGCGUAGGCGGCCAGAUAAGUCCGGUGGGAAAGUCACAGGCUCAACCUGUGAAUGCCGCUGGAAACUGUCUGGCUUGAGUCCGGAAGGGGCGAGUGGAAUUCCUGGUGUAGCGGUGAAAUGCGCAGAUAUCAGGAGGAACACCGGUGGCGAAGGCGGAUCUCUGGGCCUUACCUGACGCUGAGGCGCGAAAGCUAGGGGAGCGAACAGG